Molecule: RNA transcript, 1456 nt
Organism: Glycine soja
Lineage: Eukaryota; Viridiplantae; Streptophyta; Magnoliopsida; Fabales; Fabaceae
Exons: 5
Source: RefSeq, a predicted model, not a curated record
UUUCAAAAAAAUAACAACAAAAAAAAAACAGUACUACAUAGAUUAGUGACAGGUUUCUGCUACCGUCUUCUUCUUCGCAUUAGGGUUUUCAGAGUUCUGGUUCGUUCUCGUUUCCUCAAAUUUUGACCACUCACUAUCACCGCGUUUUAAAAUCCGACAUUUGGCCGUGCCCAACGAUUCAACCGAAGAUCAAAAUUCUUCUGCGUUUUCGAUUCGGUUACGGUUCGACGUGGACAAUUGCUUAUGGCUUCAUCCUCGAUAAUCACUCCCGAAGAUGUAUUGGAGUCGCUAAUGAACGACGGCACAAUUGAUGCCCUCAGAUUGAAGAUCAUCAACCAGCUCAAAGCCAAUGAGGAAUUGAAGAGUACUACCAUAAAGAUGGCUGAGCAGAGUAAGGUUCUGAACACCCCUGGGGCUGAGAAACAGACCAAAAGAGAGCUCUUUGAUGCGCUUCGGCAAGAGCUCGAAGCUUCUGUACUUGAAAAAGCCUCAAAAUCAAUUUGGGAUUUAAUUUUAGACAAUAAUGGCCUGGGUAAGGAGAUAAGUGAAAUGGUUGAGCGAGUGUUUUGUAGAUUGAGUGGCCAGGAGCCUCCAUUAUUUCCACUUCCGAAUGGACAACCACAACCUGAUAAGGAGACUGACAACAGAAAAGAAAAAGGAAAAGGAAAGCAGAAGGAAAACGAAAACAGGAAUUCAAAUACUCCAUCUAAGAAAAGAAGCUUCAGUGAAAUAAAUUUGGAUGGAGCAGAUGAAACUGCAACCUGGUCCUCUGAUCCUGCAGUAGUAUUGGAAGGUUCUGGCAAAUCGCCUCUAUCAAUUUCAAAGACUUGACUUGCAAGUUUGACAAGCCUUUUGUAACAGAAGUGAUCACAUCUGUUACAAUUGAAAUCUUUCAAGAAUUUAUGAGAUUAAGGUAAAUAUAAAUUAUAGAGCGUGGAAUCAUUGGCAUAUCAAGAAAACAUUCUUUUUUGCUUUGGAGCGCGGGAAGUCUACAACUACAAGCUCCGCAGUUGUUUUGGGAAGAUACUUGCGUGAAAAUUUCACAAUGGUACAGAUGCAAAUACUUUGGAAUACUCCUAGCGGUUCUUUAGCAACGAAGAACCUGUUCAUUCUUGAGUCUUUACAACUUAAUGAAGGUGAGUGCCUCCAGCUUCAACCUUACAAGUUGGAAGAGUUCUUUCAUCUAGCUUGAUCUCAUCAUUAUGGAGUCAGAACGAAAGAUUUACCAAAUAUAAAAUACCUUUGUGGAUGAAUUCAACUCACAAUUCAUAUCUAUCUAUCUAUAUAGUAUCCAUUUGAGAGUUCCACGAAAAAAUGACGGUAUGUUAGGAAACUUAUAUGAACACACUACCGUAAAAUGUGACAAGUUGAUCAUUUUUUUACUCUUUCACCAACUUUUGUAUUUUAAUAUGACAUAGAUGCAUUAAUUUAUGUUGCUUCUCCUUUUUCCUGAUGC